This 71-nucleotide transfer RNA is filed under the name Melanopsichium pennsylvanicum. RNAcentral's name for it is "transfer RNA-Gln(TTG)". It matches the Rfam family "tRNA". Rfam says of the family: Transfer RNA (tRNA) molecules are approximately 80 nucleotides in length. Their secondary structure includes four short double-helical elements and three loops (D, anti-codon, and T loops). Further hydrogen bonds mediate the characteristic L-shaped molecular structure. tRNAs have two regions of fundamental functional importance: the anti-codon, which is responsible for specific mRNA codon recognition, and the 3' end, to which the tRNAs corresponding amino acid is attached (by aminoacyl-tRNA synthetases). tRNAs cope with the degeneracy of the genetic code in two manners: having more than one tRNA (with a specific anti-codon) for a particular amino acid; and 'wobble' base-pairing, i.e. permitting non-standard base-pairing at the 3rd anti-codon position. RNAcentral also lists the same sequence under 1 other name. The record is from RNAcentral. Lineage: Eukaryota; Fungi; Basidiomycota; Ustilaginomycetes; Ustilaginales.
UAGGAUGUCGUCUAAAGGAAAGACUUCCUCUUUUGGUGGGGAAAAUAGUUGUUCGAUUCAACUCAUCCUAG